This is a long non-coding RNA of Tupaia belangeri chinensis (Chinese tree shrew), 1045 nucleotides long. RefSeq lists it as uncharacterized. The record is from RefSeq and is a predicted model, not a curated record. The transcript has 6 exons. Lineage: Eukaryota; Metazoa; Chordata; Mammalia; Scandentia; Tupaiidae.
GCGGUACUGGAGACAGGAGGUGAAAGGUUUUGGCCCUAUGGCGCAUAUGCUUGCUGAGGAGAGAAACAGGAAAAGACUUCCAGUGCUAUGUUGAAUGGAAGUGGCAAUAGUGGACAUCCUUGUCUUAUUCCUGAUCUCGAAGAAAAGCUGUAGAGCAGAUGAACUAUAAAUUCAUGUUGACAUAGGCUGACUUUGCUGGAGAUUUGAUCCUCAUUCGCCAUGUGGCAUCCUGUUCUUAUGGAGUGUGUGUUACUACUGUGUCAUAGAGCUGACCCAAGAAUAAGUACAUUUUAACAACUACAUCAUGAUUCUCAGCAAGUCUCAAUGUAAAUAUAAACAAGUGAAAACAAACAAGCCUAGUCUGAUGGAAAAUGCAUCUAUUUUCUAAUAAAACAGAGAAAGUUUAAAAUGCUGAUGCGUGCCACCAAGAACAGUUGUUAUGAUGUGAUCGGCCUACUGAGGGGAAAAGCACAGAUAAUAAGAAGGAGAGAAGCUACGGAGUUACCAAUAGAUUUCAGAUUGAGAUGCCACUCAGGCUGACUGUCAACAUGCCACAGACGUUAGGACAGCAAAAUAAAUAUACAAAGGGUGGGAAAUUGCCUGUGUAUGUGGGACCCUCAUACCUGUAUUCUACUUUACUCUUCUGUUAUUUUCUUGAUGUCCUAACUAGUUAAGCAACCAUUCCUCCCCUCUUCACCUUUAGAGACCCAGUUUAGAUAAGAAAUUAUGUUGCCACCCUAAUUAUGCAUACUAAUAUAAUGGUAACUUAAUAACUUUAGUUAUAAGCCAAUAACUCUAAUUUAUUUAGCCCUCCAAUUUAAUGGCUAGUGUCAAAGGUAACUACUUUAAUGGAGUGUUUGUUUUUUUUACUCUCUGAUUUGAACAUGCUCUAACUUUGAAUGCUCCUAAGUAUGGGACCCAAAUUACUCAUUCGUUCCAUUUUGAAAGUCUUCUGAGUAUCACUCUUCAAUCAGGAAGAACACCUUGGAAAGAACACAUUAAAAAGCAGCACACAUAUAUAUUAUUGAAGACAAAGUAAAGAAAA